GACGAACGCUGGCGGCGUGCUUAACACAUGCAAGUCGAACGGAUAGGGCUGCUUUCCCUUGUGGUUUGCGGGUACACGAGUGGCGAACGGGUGAGUAACCCGUGAGUGAUCUUCCCCUAACUUGGGUAUAAGCCUGGGAAACUGGGUCUAAUUCGCGCUAGGACUGCAGGGUGGUGCCUGUGGUGGAAAACGAUUUUCUAGUGGUUGGGGAUGAGCUCGUGGCCAAUCGGCUUGGUGGUGGGGUAAUGUCCUACGAAGGCUGGGACGGGUAGCCGGCCUGGGAGAGUGGACGGGCACAUUGGGACAGAGACACGGCCCAGACGCCAACGGGAAGCAGCAGACGGGAAGCAUGCGCGGUGAGCGUAAGCCUGAGGGAGCGAGGCCGCGUGGGGGAUGACGGGCUUCGGGUGGUGACCUCCUGGCGACCAAGAGCAAGCCGCCUGGACGGAACGGUGGUGACGGUAGUGGUAGAAGAAGCACCGGCUAACUACGUG
Molecule: ribosomal RNA, 494 nt
Filed under: uncultured bacterium
Lineage: Bacteria
Description: partial 16S ribosomal RNA
Rfam family: Bacterial small subunit ribosomal RNA
Source: RNAcentral